Small nuclear RNA from Talpa occidentalis (Iberian mole), 103 nucleotides. The record is from RefSeq and is a predicted model, not a curated record. NCBI's taxonomy places the organism in Eukaryota, Metazoa, Chordata, Mammalia, Eulipotyphla, Talpidae.
UUGCUUCAGCAGCACAUAGACUAAAAUUGGAAUGAUACAGAGAAAAUUAGUGCUGCCCUUGCGCAAGGAUGACACACAAAUUUGUGAGGCGCUCCAUAUUUUA